RNAcentral lists this small RNA (125 nucleotides) under Marmota monax (woodchuck). The record is from RNAcentral. Lineage: Eukaryota; Metazoa; Chordata; Mammalia; Rodentia; Sciuridae.
GCUGGGCGAGGUGGCACACGCCUGUAAUCCCAGUGGCUCUGGAGGCUGAGGGAGGAGGAUUGAGAGUUUAAAGCCAGCCUCAACAAUAUCGAGGCACUAAGCAACUCAGUGAGAUCCUGUCUCUA